Molecule: ribosomal RNA, 523 nt
Filed under: uncultured delta proteobacterium
Lineage: Bacteria; Deltaproteobacteria
Description: bacterial SSU rRNA
Rfam family: Bacterial small subunit ribosomal RNA
Source: RNAcentral
AGGCGAACGUUAGCGGCGGGCCUAACACAUGCAAGUCGAACGAGAAUAGGGGAGCAAUCCCCUUAGUAAAGUGGCGGACGGGUGCGUAACACGUGGGUAAUCUACCUUCCGGCGGGGGACAACAGUCCGAAAGGACUGCUAAUACCGCAUACGUCAGCGAGGUCUACGGGCCUUGCUGGGAAAGAUGGCCUCUCCUUGGAAGCUGUCACCGGAAGAUGAGCCCGCGUCCCAUCAGCUAGUUGGCGAGGUAAUGGCUCACCAAGGCUUAGACGGGUAGCUGGUCUGAGAGGAUGAUCAGCCACACUGGGACUGCGACACGGCCCAGACUCCUACGGGAGGCAGCAGUGGGGGAAUAUUGGGCAAUGGGCGAAAGCCUGACCCAGCCACGCCGCGUGAGUGAUGAAGGCCUUCGGGUCGUAAAGCUCUGUGGGGAGGGACGAAUAAGUGCCGCACAAACAAUGCGGUGCCCUGACGGUACCUCCUUAGCAAGCACCGGCUAACCAUGUGCCAGCAGCCGCGGUAA